AGCGGACUGGUGCAAUGGUAGCAUGUUAGGUUCUGAGCCUAAAGCUGGUCGUUCGAUUCGACCGUCCGCAUCCA
Molecule: transfer RNA, 74 nt
Filed under: Inoviridae sp.
Lineage: Floreoviria; Loebvirae; Hofneiviricota; Faserviricetes; Tubulavirales; Inoviridae
Description: tRNA-Gln
Rfam family: tRNA
About the family: Transfer RNA (tRNA) molecules are approximately 80 nucleotides in length. Their secondary structure includes four short double-helical elements and three loops (D, anti-codon, and T loops).
Source: RNAcentral